Long non-coding RNA from Peromyscus eremicus (cactus mouse), 2705 nucleotides. RefSeq lists it as uncharacterized. NCBI's taxonomy places the organism in Eukaryota, Metazoa, Chordata, Mammalia, Rodentia, Cricetidae. The record is from RefSeq and is a predicted model, not a curated record. The transcript is spliced from 2 exons.
UCAAGAUCAAAAUAGUGUAUAUUUGUAUUGCAUUGCUUUAGAUUAUUAUUUGAUUUUAAAAAUUGCUGUUUGAGUUGCUGAGUUGAUUUUAUUUAAAAAAAAUAUAAUUCAGUGGGUUCAUGAGCUACCUUUGCUUGGUAAACAGAUGGACCUAGAAAAGAUUAUACUGAAUGAGGUAACCCAGAAAGACAAAUGCUGUAUGUUCUUUCUUAUGCGCAGUUUCUAGCUCCAAAUCUUCAGAUGUGAGUAUACAACGUGGAGUAGCCACAGAAGCCAGGAAAGUAUAAAGAGGCCAUAGCAGGGCAAGGGACUCGAGACAGGAAUAGCAGGGAUAUGAAGCAGGAAAAAGAAAACUGGGGAGGGGAUUGUCUGGUGAGCAAGGAAAGUCCAUAAAGCAGGAGGAGGAGGAAGAAGAAAUAACACCAAGGUUAUUUAAUAAAGUACCAAGGAUCUUAUUUUAUAUUUACCUAAAAUCGUAUAAGAUACACACAUAUAUUUAUGGGUAUGUGUGUAUGUAUAUACCUUAAAGGAAGUUACACCAUUGGGUCUGACAGUGCUCCCCACAAGAAACAGACUAACAAACCUCCCAGGAAUAGGCAUGGGACAUCUCCUUUUGAGUGACUGGUCAGGGUAAUUCAAGAGACUCCCCAAACAGUAUAGUCUACUCUUGUUGCCCUUGGCUGCCUCUCAGAGUCUGAAGCUAAAACCCCUACUGCUGUACCCAUACACUGCACACCUAGGACACAAUACUCAAAUGACUUGAGCUGGAUCUGACCUGAAAGCCUCUUUCCUGUGGUCUAGCUUCCAGGGUACCAGAAAACACUGUGCAAACUGCCAAGAGAGGGAAGCAAUUAGUAGUCCUACCCAGCUGUGAUACCUACCACCCAUGGCGUGACCAGAAUGGCAAGAUAUCCACAAAGGCAGCCAACGUGUGAGAUAAGUGUAACUGUCACCUUUUAUCAACAAGCUUCUCUUUACGGGAGGUGAAGAUCAUCACAUAAAUCCACAGCUGGACAUGAAGCAGACAUCAACAGGUCCUGUGGAACCCAGCCCCAACAGAUACAACUGCAUCACAACUCUUCCAUCUAUGGUUCUGCAAACAUCACAGAAAAGGGGAUGGGAAGAUUGUAAGAACUAAAACCCCAGGAAGUCUGCUGUGAAACACUUCCUCCUAGCAAUGUCUGCAUAAGCAAGAUCUGAACAAUGGCAGUAUCAAUAGACAUGUUGACAUGGAAGGGAAAAUCUCAGAGUCACAUCCCUGGAUAAGGAACUACAGGCAACUGAUGACUGCUGAGAAUGAGAGAGUUAUGUUCUAUCAGGAAUAAGCUCCAACAUUAGUUAUUUAAUACAAACAGCAUCUCUGAAACCACAUAUAUAUAAAGCAAGCAACAGAAUGGACCCGGCAGAUUGUAUUUAUAUACUUGUGCAUAUAUACAUGUAACAGUAAUAAUGGAACAAGAAGAGGCUAUCAAUUUAAGAUUUUUGGGAACUUUGGGAGUAGCUAGAGGGAGAAAAGGGAAGAGGAAAAGUGUUAUAAUUAUUUUUAGUUAAAAUAUAUAAAAAUUACAAAGAGAAAACAUUCAAUGAAUUUUGUUUUGUGAUUAGGGCAGUUUCUCAUAAUUUCUGAAACGGAUCUAAACAUACUCCUGCAUUUUGUACUAUGUAUUUAUGCAGAAUGGUGUUCUCAGAAUUGAUGAUUAUAAAAAUAAACAUUGAUCACCUGAAUAAAUAUUCAAGAUGUUCUGUAUCCUUCAGUAUAAAAUCACUCAAGAUUCAGUUCUUUAUGUGAACAUUAGCAAGCAUGUCCAUCUUAUUAGUAAGAAAAUUUGAUUUAAUUUUUAAUAAAUGGUCAAAUUGUAUGUAUACCAAAUAAUUGCUUUAAAAUAUUUUUAAAAUUUGUUACCAGUUAAUAUAUACCUAUUUUAUAUACCUAUAUAUCAAUGGUCAUGUAAAAAUUUCUCAGGUAUAAAAGGGUUGUGAGUGGAAAGUUUAGGAAGCCUUGUUCUCGACUGUCUAUAUCUGAAUAAUAUUUUUUUGUAAUAUAGCUGCUAUUUAUUUCUCAUUUAACAAGUUUUAAGUUUGAUUUUAAUCAUAAUAAAGAUAUAUAACAUUAAAUUAACAUUAAAGUUUUAAGUGCAGAGUAUUGUUAACUAUACAUACUGUAUCAUGUUAGAUAACUUAAGUCUUAGACCUUUUUUUUAUCAUUAGUCUCAAGACAUUUUCAAUUUAUCUUGAUUUAUUCUUUGGCCCAUUGACUAUACAAGAGUAAGUUAUUUAUUUACAUGUGUUUGAGAAUUUUUGAUUUUUACUUUCAUUUUGUUAGGAAUGGAAAUGAUGUUUGAUAUGACUUAAACCUUAUUUAAUUUAAGACCUUUUGUGAUCUAACAGUCUAUACUGUAGAAUGUCUCAUUACACUUGGGAAUGGUGAGUUCUGUGUCCACUAGACAGAAUAUUCUUCAUAUGUGAGUUUAGUCCAUCUGGCCUAUUUUUUCUUUUCAAGCCUAUGGUUUAUUUACUGAUUUCUGUUUGAGUGUCCUCUCUAUUAUUGAUAGUGGAAUAUUGUAAUCUCCUGCUGUUUUAUGUUGCUGUGUAUUUCUUCAGUGCUGUCAAUGUUUGCUUCAUAUAUUUGAGUGCCCUGAAUACAAAUUCUGGUGAAUUGGCUGCUUUUAUCAUUACAUAUACCCUUCUUUGUCUUUCAUGCCUUU